UCUCAGCGUAACUGCAGCCGCGGGGGA
Molecule: small RNA, 27 nt
Filed under: Bombyx mori (domestic silkworm)
Lineage: Eukaryota; Metazoa; Arthropoda; Insecta; Lepidoptera; Bombycidae
Description: ovarian small RNA-29581
Source: RNAcentral